This 460-nucleotide ribosomal RNA is filed under the name uncultured bacterium. RNAcentral describes it as "partial 16S ribosomal RNA". It matches the Rfam family "Bacterial small subunit ribosomal RNA", at positions 338 to 795 of the family's 1533-position model. The record is from RNAcentral.
CCUACGGGAGGCUGCAGUGGGGAAUAUUGCACAAUGGGGGAAACCCUGAUGCAGCAACGCCGCGUGAAGGUCAGUGCCCUAUGGGCGUUAAACUUCUUUUGUGCGGGAGCAAUAAUGGUCACGUGUGGCCAGACGAGAGUACCGUACGAAUAAGCAUCGGCUAACUCCGUGCCAACAGCCGCGGUAAUACGGGGGAUGCAAGCGUUAUCCGGAUUUAUUGGGUUUAAAGGGUGCGUAGGCGGGGAGUUAAGUCAGCGGUGAAAUGCCCCCGCUCAACGGGGUGAAGUGCCAUUGAGACUGCCUUGCUGGAAUGCGGAUGCGGUGGGAGGAAUGUGUGGUGUAGCGGUGAAAUGCAUAGAUAUCACGCAGAACACCGAUUGCGAAGGCAUCUCACGGAACCGCGAUUGACGCUGAGGCACGAAAGCGUGGGUAUCAAACAGGAUUAGAUACCCCUGUAGUC